Molecule: transfer RNA, 82 nt
Filed under: Kribbella kalugense
Lineage: Bacteria; Bacillati; Actinomycetota; Actinomycetes; Propionibacteriales; Kribbellaceae
Description: Kribbella sp. VKM Ac-2570 tRNA-Leu
Rfam family: tRNA
About the family: Transfer RNA (tRNA) molecules are approximately 80 nucleotides in length. Their secondary structure includes four short double-helical elements and three loops (D, anti-codon, and T loops). Further hydrogen bonds mediate the characteristic L-shaped molecular structure. tRNAs have two regions of fundamental functional importance: the anti-codon, which is responsible for specific mRNA codon recognition, and the 3' end, to which the tRNAs corresponding amino acid is attached (by aminoacyl-tRNA synthetases). tRNAs cope with the degeneracy of the genetic code in two manners: having more than one tRNA (with a specific anti-codon) for a particular amino acid; and 'wobble' base-pairing, i.e. permitting non-standard base-pairing at the 3rd anti-codon position.
Source: RNAcentral
GCCAGAGUGGUGGAACGGCAGACACACCGGCUUUAGGUGCCGGCGCCCCUAGGGUGUGCGGGUUCGAGUCCCGCCUCUGGCA